RNAcentral lists this unclassified non-coding RNA (3664 nucleotides) under Hevea brasiliensis (rubber tree). Lineage: Eukaryota; Viridiplantae; Streptophyta; Magnoliopsida; Malpighiales; Euphorbiaceae. The record is from RNAcentral.
GGUUCGCUCACUUGCUAUUUAGAAAGGAAAUCCAACUCAAAGCAGGCCUACCCUUAGAGUUAAGAAAUCAAGGCAGCCAAAUCCUAACCCUAAAAUUAAGGGACCCAAAACGAGAAUCCAACUGUUGCAGUGUCCCCCACCGUUGAAUUCAGCUAACUGAUAUCGCCGGAGGCCAGAGAGGAGGAUUUCUCUUGUCAAAGCCUUGCUAGCUUGAGCAGAAUCUCCCAAGGACAAAGAAACCAAUUAAACCAAGAACAACCAUCACCUCCAGCAAAAACUCAGGCUCAACCAACCAUCAGCAAAGGAGAAGAGGAGAAUAGAGGGCAUGGCAUUCUAGACAUGGGUAAACCAGUCAUAAACUUUUAGGACGCGUCGAUCUCCUGCCUUCACCCAAAUAAACGGAACAGCACUAAGGAAGAAACAGAGCCAUGAAAACAUGUUUACUUUAACCACAGAGCCACAUCGCAGGACAACAAGAUCCUUUGUCAAAGACACUGAUCCUGCAAAUCAAAACUAUACAAAACCAUUUACAUUAAUUAAUCAAUUGCCCUUUCAUUUUUUUUUUCUUUUCAGUAAGAGAUUAGAGGAGUAAGGACUCAAACUUGAAUUUUGACAAGUGAGUUACAUGCUUUUAGUCACUAUAUCAAAGCCAAGCCAGGUGGAUCUUUUCUUUUACCCACUCAUGACUUGUAGGACGGUACACCGUUCUUAAUUUCUUAUCAAGUAAAUAGGUUCAUGGUUUGGUGUCGCGUCAAAUUUCCACAUAACUUCAUAUUCAAGUGAUAAUUUGAAAACGACGAAAGUAGCCUAUAAUCUUUUAGAAAUGCACUCUUGAGGGUGCCAUUUUACCCAACAGAUUAGCAUCCGACGGUUCUGAAAUCCUGUGGUGGAAUUUGACCUCUUUUUUCUUUGGUUUUUAACUUUGUCUUUACCCCAAAGGAUUGAAAUGCCUGUAUUUUCAAUAAGCUGCAAGGCCACUAUCACACGGGCAGGUCAAUUUGAACAUCAAUUCCAAGUGUGACUUGCUAUUUCACAUGUUGGUUUCUGUAUAUAUUUCUGUAUCAAAUAGAUAAUAUUCGCAAAAUUCUCCAAUAUGGGUGUCUUUUGUAAUGAGGAGCCACCAAAUCCUUCCCGGAAAUGCAAGUUCCUCACUGCAACUUUGAAGGAUGCGUUUUCCAAUUGCCGUACUUGUCGACAGAUUUCAACUUUGAAGCCGGAGGUGGAGUACCCAUCUAGUGACGUAGAUGAUGAGCAGGAAGUACUCACUUUUUGAUUACUGCAGAUAUAAUCUUCUAUUUUCUAUCUUUCCUUGUUAAUCCAUGAAUGUUUUCUGGUUGUGUUAUAUUGUCUUUGAUUGUUUCUUCAGGUUCUUGUUUCAGAAAUCCGAAGCCGUGCCAUGGAGAACUCUAGGCAAAGAUCCUUUGUUCUGACAGAUAGCAUUUCUUGGGUGUUCUCUCCCAGGACUGGGGAACUGUUCUUGGCUCCCAAGAUUUUGCAAGAAAAGGAUGAUGAUGAUGAUGAAGACAAGGAGGAGGAGGAAAGAGAGGAAUUUCUGUCUGUUGCAAGUUGUUUCUCCUGUCGUUCAAAUGCUUUGAGCAAGGAAGUGUUUUUUUCUGUUAAAACAAACCUUUCUCGCUGCUCAAGCUUCAGUGAGCUUCUUGAGCUACAAGAUUUUCCAAGGCGUUCCAUACUUCAGGAGCUGUGUCACUGCGAAGGAUGGCCAUUUGGUCUCUGCAGGAAGGCUGUGUUGCUUCCACCGUUGCCCAAAUCCCCUUCUGAAUCUUGGUCUUGGCGUAAAGGCAGCAGAAUAGUUAAGGUCGCUCGAAUUUAGCACCCUUCAUUCUAGCCCUAGUAAUGGAGGCAAGCAGAAAAACUAAUGAAUAAGGAUCACAAGUAUAGAAAAGUUUAUUCUUAUAUUGAAUCUUGAAAGAUAGUUGAGAUUAUCUGUUUCAUGAAUCCUAUUUCCAUCCGCUAUGUUCGAGGCUAAUGAAACUAGAGGCCUAGUUAUACAAGACUGAAGAAUCUCUCUACCAAUUCUCUAUUUUUGGCCGUUCUAGAUAGGAAGCACAACUAGUGGCCAUCCUUAUAAUUAGAUGAGCUGAGAUUUCCAUUGUAAUUUAAAUUAGAAACAUCCACAGAGAUCAGGGAGGCAACAAAGCUCCAGAAUAUGAAUAUAUGAUACAACAACAGCUGGACUCAAAAUCAGAUUUUGUAGAGGACUGCAUUUGAGAGAAAGUGUAUCAAUCACUUUUCUAUUGCAAAAUGAAGUGUGAUUUUCAUUGAGUUUUGAUUCAGAAGGCAUUACAAUUCUCAAAGUGAACUUAAACCAAUCUAUAGGGCAAUAUUAAGAAGGCCAUACAAAAACUCCUAGUGUUAAGCUUGUUAUUUCAUCCAAAAUAUGCAGCAACAGAAUUACUCAUACAAGUAGCUCAAGGCAUCUCAUAAUUAAAUUAAGCCAAGAAGAAGUUAUCAUUUAAAAGAACUCUUCCCUUUCUUUUGAAAAAAAAUGAUUUUAAAAGAAUGAUCAUAUGACAAUUAGCAUUUAUUAGAUUGUUUCAUCGUACAACACAAAAAUUAUGCAUGUGUCAUCCAACCACUUUUAGAUCUCAAUUCAUCAACAUAUCAACAUCAUUUUCUACAAGGGUCCGGAAAUCACAGGGCUAAUUAAUUACUGGCACCAGACAAUCAAAUUACACUUCUAGUCUUCAUUUCAGAUUAACAAAAUGCAAAAUAUUGCACUUCAUAAAAAAACAAAUACAAACCAGUUAAAGAGCUAUAGUUAACGACUUUCAAUCCUCAUGAUACAACAUAUUGCAUGACCAUUUCAUUAUUAGCAAUAGCUUAUUUCAUUAUACCUAUGGUUUAAGAAAAAACAGGAGCGAAGUCAUUAUUAGCCAUCAUAAAAUACAUAUAUAAAAAAGAAAAUUUUCAAACAGGAUGAAAAAUAUGAUUUUAAAUUAUGGACAAAAAUAAGCUCUUAUUUAAUGGCUAUCUACUCCAACUUAGUUUUUCUUGGAGGGGAUACAGUAACCUGUCUCCAACUAUUCAAAAACAUGAUUCCAAACAAAAGUUCACAAUCACAUCAAACCUUUCCUAAGUUGUGGCUCUUAUUUAGCUCUCUGCUCAACAUAAGAACCAGCAAGUCCAGAAGUACCAAGAACAGUAACCUUUCCCCACUCUGAACCAAGCCCACUGCAUCUCAUCUUCAAGUAUAUCAUCUUUGAUCCCAACUCUGUCUCUACUUUCUUCCGCAAAUAACCCUCAUCAGGUCCAAAUGCAUCCAAAUAGGCAGAAUAUCGUUCAAAAACAGUACGAAGUGCAUUGGCAAAAUCAUUUGGUAAAGGUUUUACAUCCUCACCACUCAAUCCAAUGCUGUCAUCAAGUUCCAUUUUCAUAGAAAUAAGCCUGCCACCAAAUUCCUCAACAGCUUCAGCUGCACAGAAAACAUUCUUCAAAAUUUCUUGGCCAGCUUUGUCAUCAGUGUCUUUAGACAACACAAUCUUUACAUCGUGGAUGACAGCAUCAUGAAGCUCGUCCCAACUUGCAGCCAUCAAGUCCUUGAAAACAUUUUGAAUUUCAGGAUCUUGUAUGACAGGCAUGCGAGCUACAUCCUGACUAAAAUAUCGUAUGCUUCCAAUGCCCAUUGUAAGAGAAGAUCUGAAAU